UAGGGAAUCUUCCGCAAUGGACGCAAGUCUGACGGAGCAACGCCGCGUGAGUGAUGAAGGUUUUCGGAUCGUAAAGCUCUGUUGCCCUAGACGAAUAGCAAGGAGAGUAACUGCUCUUUGUGUGACGGUAUAGGAGAAGAAAGCCCCGGCUAACUACGUGCCAGCAGCCGCGGUAAUACGUAGGGGGCAAGCGUUGUCCGGAAUUAUUGGGCGUAAAGCGCGCGCAGGCGGUCAUUUAAGUUUGGUGUUUAAGCCCGGGGCUCAACCCCGGUUCGCAUCGAAAACUGGGUGACUUGAGUGUAGGAGAGGAAAGUGGAAUUCCACGUGUAGCGGUGAAAUGCGUAGAGAUGUGGAGGAACACCAGUGGCGAAGGCGACUUUCUGGCCUAUAACUGACGCUGAGGCGCGAAAGCGUGGGGAGCAAACA
Molecule: ribosomal RNA, 426 nt
Filed under: uncultured Paenibacillus sp.
Lineage: Bacteria; Bacillati; Bacillota; Bacilli; Caryophanales; Paenibacillaceae
Description: bacterial SSU rRNA
Rfam family: Bacterial small subunit ribosomal RNA
Source: RNAcentral